GACGAACGCUGGCGGCGUGCUUAACACAUGCAAGUCGAACGGAAAGGCCCUGCUUUUGUGGGGUGCUCGAUUGGCGAACGGGUGAGUAACACGUGAGUAACCUGCCCUUGACUUUGGGAUAACUUCAGGAAACUGGGGCUAAUACCGGAUAGGAGCUCCUGCUGCAUGGUGGGGGUUGGAAAGUUUCGGCGGUUGGGGAUGGACUCGCGGCUUAUCAGCUUGUUGGUGGGGUAGUGGCUUACCAAGGCUUUGACGGGUAGCCGGCCUGAGAGGGUGACCGGCCACAUUGGGACUGAGAUACGGCCCAGACUCCUACGGGAGGCAGCAGUGGGGAAUAUUGCACAAUGGGCGGAAGCCUGAUGCAGCAACGCCGCGUGCGGGAUGCCGGCCUUCGGGUUGUAAACCGCUUUCGCCUGUGACGAAGCGUGAGUGACGGUAAUGGGUAAAGAAGCACCGGCUAACUACGUG
This 468-nucleotide ribosomal RNA is filed under the name uncultured bacterium. RNAcentral's name for it is "partial 16S ribosomal RNA". It matches the Rfam family "Bacterial small subunit ribosomal RNA", at positions 28 to 507 of the family's 1533-position model. The record is from RNAcentral.